AACUUAUGACCCUGUGAACCUAGUCCAACCUCUAGUAGGUUGCGCACUGGUGUGCACGGGUCAUUCUUCUGGAGAGCAUCACUGCCCUUGAUUGGGUUUGUGGUGUAAUUCAGAUCAUUUACUGUGAGUAAAUCAAAGUGUUCAAAGCAGGCUUAAAGCUUGUAUGGUUCAGCAUGGAAUAAUAAGAUAAGACUUCGGUUUUGUUUUGUUGGCUAGACGAACCAAAGUAAUGAUUGAAAGGGAUAGUUGGGGGUGCUAGUAUUCAGUGGUCAGCGGUGAAAUGCGAGGACCCAUUGAAGACUAACUUAUGCGAAAGCAUU
This 320-nucleotide ribosomal RNA is filed under the name uncultured Thalassomyxa. Its description in RNAcentral is "SSU rRNA". The stretch from base 98 to 320 matches the Rfam family "Eukaryotic small subunit ribosomal RNA", at positions 731 to 955 of the family's 1831-position model. The record is from RNAcentral. Lineage: Eukaryota; Endomyxa; Vampyrellida.